GUUGCGCUUUAGCUAUAUAGUCGCCGCUCUUUUUUUAGAAUAUCUCACCCUCGUAGCUACGACUCCAUCAUCUUUGCUGUAAAAUAUAGAUAGAG
Molecule: non-coding RNA, 95 nt
Filed under: Entomoneis paludosa
Lineage: Eukaryota; Bacillariophyta; Bacillariophyceae; Surirellales; Surirellaceae
Source: RNAcentral